GGGGACGUAGUUCAAUUGGUAGAGCAUAUGCUUUGCAUGCAUGAAGUUAUCGGUUCAAGUCCGUUCGUCUCCA
This 73-nucleotide transfer RNA is filed under the name Roya obtusa. RNAcentral's name for it is "tRNA-Ala". It matches the Rfam family "tRNA". From Rfam's summary of the family: Transfer RNA (tRNA) molecules are approximately 80 nucleotides in length. Their secondary structure includes four short double-helical elements and three loops (D, anti-codon, and T loops). Further hydrogen bonds mediate the characteristic L-shaped molecular structure. tRNAs have two regions of fundamental functional importance: the anti-codon, which is responsible for specific mRNA codon recognition, and the 3' end, to which the tRNAs corresponding amino acid is attached (by aminoacyl-tRNA synthetases). tRNAs cope with the degeneracy of the genetic code in two manners: having more than one tRNA (with a specific anti-codon) for a particular amino acid; and 'wobble' base-pairing, i.e. permitting non-standard base-pairing at the 3rd anti-codon position. Lineage: Eukaryota; Viridiplantae; Streptophyta; Zygnematophyceae; Zygnematales; Mesotaeniaceae. The record is from RNAcentral.